This 496-nucleotide ribosomal RNA is filed under the name uncultured bacterium. Its description in RNAcentral is "partial 16S ribosomal RNA". It matches the Rfam family "Bacterial small subunit ribosomal RNA", at positions 28 to 507 of the family's 1533-position model. The record is from RNAcentral.
GAUGAACGCUGGCGGCGUGCCUAAUACAUGCAAGUCGAGCGAACGGACGAGAAGCUUGCUUCUCUGAUGUUAGCGGCGGACGGGUGAGUAACACGUGGAUAACCUACCUAUAAGACUGGGAUAACUUCGGGAAACCGGAGCUAAUACCGGAUGAUAUUUUGAACCGCAUGGUUCAAAAGUGAAAGACGGUCUUGCUGUCACUUAUAGAUGGAUCCGCGCUGCAUUAGCUAGUUGGUAAGGUAACGGCUUACCAAGGCAACGAUGCAUAGCCGACCUGAGAGGGUGAUCGGCCACACGGGAACUGAGACACGGUCCAGACUCCUACGGGAGGCAGCAGUAGGGAAUCUUCCGCAAUGGGCGAAAGCCUGACGGAGCAACGCCGCGUGAGUGAUGAAGGUCUUCGGAUCGUAAAACUCUGUUAUUAGGGAAGAACAUAUGUGUAAGUACUGUGCACAUCUUGACGGUACCUAAUCAGAAAGCCACGGCUAACUACGUG